RNAcentral lists this long non-coding RNA (644 nucleotides) under Nicotiana benthamiana. RNAcentral describes it as "long non-coding RNA (NBEN_LNC034553)". The record is from RNAcentral. Lineage: Eukaryota; Viridiplantae; Streptophyta; Magnoliopsida; Solanales; Solanaceae.
UUGAUAAAGAGAAAGCGCUGCUGGAGGAAAUUGAGAAGUGGUGUGCUGUGGAGGAGCAGGUUAUGAGACAGAAAUCCAAAGCUGUUUGGAUUGAAUGUGGUGAUGCAAACACCAAAUAUUUCCAUGCCCAAUGGAAAAUCAGAACAUCACAGAAUAACAUUACCUCAGUAUACACUGAUUCUGGAAUCAAGCUCACUGACCCUAACGAUGUGGAACAGGAAUGAUGGAAAAUCAGAAAAUCUCAGAAUAAAAUUACCUCAAUAUACACUGAUGCUGGAAUCAAACUCACUGACCCUAAAGAAGUGGAGCAGGAAUUUAUCAUUGUAUUCCAAUCACUGAUGGGAGACUGUGCAGAGGAACUGACUUGUGUGAACACUAAAAUCAUCAAAGAAGGCCCUUGCCUUUCUAGAACUCAGCAAGUAGUCCUGAUCCAGGAACUUACAAUGGAGGAACUCACAGACACUAUUAUGGAGAUGCCAAAAGAUAAAGCCCCUGGUUUGGAUGGCUUCCCAGUGGAAUUCUUCACUAAGAACUGGAAUGUAUUAAGAGAGGACAUAUUUGCUGCUGCUAAGGCGUUCUUCACCACUUGCACAAUGCCUCCAAUGAUCAACACUACUGCCAUUGCCCUUGUUCCUAAAGACAAG